CCUACGGGAGGCAGCAGUGGGGAAUAUUGGACAAUGGGCGCAAGCCUGAUCCGGCCAUGCCGCGUGAGUGAUGACGGCCUUAGGGUUGUAAAGCUCUUUUACCUGGGAAGAUAAUGACUGUACCAGGAGAAUAAGCCCCGGCUAACUUCGUGCCAGCAGCCGCGGUGAU
Molecule: ribosomal RNA, 169 nt
Filed under: uncultured Beijerinckiaceae bacterium
Lineage: Bacteria; Pseudomonadati; Pseudomonadota; Alphaproteobacteria; Hyphomicrobiales; Beijerinckiaceae
Description: partial 16S ribosomal RNA
Rfam family: Bacterial small subunit ribosomal RNA
Source: RNAcentral